CUUUCUUUGCUGGCGACCGGCGCACGGGUGAGUAACACGUAUCCAACCUGCCCUUUACUCGGGGAUAGCCUUUCGAAAGAAAGAUUAAUACCCGAUAGCAUAAUGAUUCCGCAUGGUUUCAUUAUUAAAGGAUUCCGGUAAAGGAUGGGGAUGCGUUCCAUUAGGUUGUUGGUGAGGUAACGGCCCACCAAGCCUUCGAUGGAUAGGGGUUCUGAGAGGAAGGUCCCCCACAUUGGAACUGAGACACGGUUCAA
RNAcentral lists this ribosomal RNA (254 nucleotides) under uncultured bacterium. RNAcentral's name for it is "partial 16S ribosomal RNA". It matches the Rfam family "Bacterial small subunit ribosomal RNA", at positions 79 to 334 of the family's 1533-position model. The record is from RNAcentral.